UACGGAAGGCAGCAGUGGGGAAUAUUGCACAAUGGGCGCAAGCCUGAUGCAGCCAUGCCGCGUGUAUGAAGAAGGCCUUCGGGUUGUAAAGUACUUUCAGUCGUGAGGAAGGUGUUAAGGUUAAUAACCUUAGCAAUUGACGUUAGCGACAGAAGAAGCACCGGCUAACUCCGUGCCAGCAGCCGCGGUAAUACGGAGGGUGCGAGCGUUAAUCGGAAUUACUGGGCGUAAAGGGCACGCAGGCGGUUAAUUAAGUUGGAUGUGAAAUCCCCGGGCUUAACCUGGGAAUGGCAUUCAAGACUGGUUAGCUAGAGUCUUGUAGAGGGGGUAGAAUUCCAUGUGUAGCGGUGAAAUGCGUAGAAAUGUGGAGGAGUACCGGUGGCGAAGGCGGCCCCUGGACAAAGACUGACGCUCAUGUGCGAAAGCGUGGGGAGCAAACAGGGAUUAGAUACC
This 453-nucleotide ribosomal RNA is filed under the name uncultured bacterium. RNAcentral describes it as "bacterial SSU rRNA". It matches the Rfam family "Bacterial small subunit ribosomal RNA", at positions 340 to 786 of the family's 1533-position model. The record is from RNAcentral.